AUGCUGCCGCUCCCGUGCUGCGGGCCUCAGUGUGGGGAGGGGAGUCAACUUAAAAGUGCCAGGAGUAUGACUCUAAGCAGAGAGGAGAGAAACUUUGGCUCCUGUGGACGGAUGUUUAUUAUGCACCUGAAGUAUGCUCCCUGGCAUCCUGAACCUCCCCACCAUCCCCAUCACCACACACAGCUGACGUCAGAGCCUGGAAAAUUCCAGCCUCACUGGUGCAGACCCCCUCCCUCCCCUGCUCCUGGCUGCAGUUUCCAUGGCAACAGCUGGAGCCUGCCUCCUUCUCCACCAGGUAAUUACUCCUCAAGGGCUGGGGCAGCGCGAGGAGGUGGGGGUGUGUGGGGAGAUGGGACAACCCAGCUCCCAGGCCUCCUGCGGCAGCCACUGUCCUGCCCCUUAAAACACACUCGAACAGGAGCUUGGCAGAAGGUCAUGAAUUUGUCUGCCUGGACUUACACGGAGUCACACGGGUCUUUUAAGCACCAGCGACACCUGCUAUGGUCUCUUCUUUGCUCACUUAUCUAUUCAUUUAUUCAGCAAAUAUGGAUCCACUGUUCCCGGAGCCGGUGGUACGAGAAAAAAACAAACACUGGAAAAGGCAUGCUCUUCUGUCCGAGAGCCGAGCUGUCGGUGACAUUUGUUCCUUCAAACAGGAAUGUUUUAGAUUCAUUUAGCAAAAGGUUAUGGAAGGACCACUGCGCACUGCAUGCCAAGGGUCACGCAAGGUGUAGAGAAUAUGUCGUAAAGAAUGAACGUCAGAUCCCUGCCCAGAAUGCCUGGCAGUACCUUCGAACAUUUUUAGAAAGAAUAAAUGGGCAAAGGAGUGGAGUCUGUUCGGCUCAAAAUUAGGAUUCUGUGCGUUUAUUCAUUUGACAUCACGGACUAGCAUGCACUCUGGGGCUCUCCCAACGGUUCAAGCGGUAAAGAAUCCACCUAUAAUGCAGGAGAUGUAAGAGACAAGGGUUCGAUCCCUGGGUUGGGAAGACCCCCUGGAGAAGGGCAUGGCAGCCCACUCCAGUGUUCUUGCCUGGUGGGGUGCGGUCCACAGGGUGUCAGGCACGACUGAGCACACAGGGACGCAUGCAGAAAGCACGGUGUUUAUUGUCUUGAAUGGACAGGCAGUUAGUGGGAUGUUGAACACCCUGGAAUUUGCCUGAGAUCCAGACGUAGAGAACAAACGUAUGGCCACCGAGAGGGGAAGAGGAGGUGGGAUGAACUGGGAGAUUGAGAUUGACACAUACACCGUAUCGAUGUGCGUAUGAAACAGGUAACUAAUGGAGCCUCCUGUGCAGCUCGGGGAACUCUGCUCUGUGAAGACCCACCUGAGACAGGAACCCAGAAAAGAGGGUGUAUGUGUGCGCACGUAGCUGGUGCACUUGCUGCACAGCAAAAACAACAGCCUGGUAACACAGCUCUGCUCCAGUGGGAGAAAAACGCAUUUGUUUUUAACAUUGAGUGCUCUCAUCAAACAAAAUAAAUUAAAAAGCAUCUGAGUAGGAGGAGAGAGG
This is a long non-coding RNA of Bos indicus x Bos taurus (hybrid cattle), 1511 nucleotides long. NCBI's taxonomy places the organism in Eukaryota, Metazoa, Chordata, Mammalia, Artiodactyla, Bovidae. The record is from Ensembl.